Molecule: ribosomal RNA, 105 nt
Filed under: uncultured bacterium
Lineage: Bacteria
Description: partial 16S ribosomal RNA
Rfam family: Bacterial small subunit ribosomal RNA
Source: RNAcentral
CGUUGUACACACCGCCCGUCACACCACGAGAGUUUGUAACACCCGAAGUCGGUGGGGUAACCAUUAUGGAGCCAGCCGCCGAAGGUGGGACAGAUGAUUGGGGUG